GAUUAUAAGUUUUCUAAUUAUGUAAGUCAAAAGUAGAAAAAGGGACACAAACUAAGAAGGGUGCUGAGCGCUCGUCACCUGGAGGGACUUGUGCCUCUCUCAGUGGUAGUAGAGGGGCUACUUCUUCCUGCCACGGUCAUGAUUGAGAGGCAAUGGGUGGCGAGCCUACAGGGGACGUCGUCGAGGAGACAUGGGAUAACUUUAAGGGAGAAGACAGACAAGGGGAGGGGUUCCUGUGAUGGGAUCAGUCAGAUGCCUGCCUGGCCGCUCCCCGUGAGGGGACUUGGGCUCCUCUUAGCAUUGGCAGGCCGGUAUAAACUUCCGGCUCAGAUUGAGCUAUGCCUGAUGCUGCCUUAAGCCUUAUGAGGUCGCCAAGGAACCGCAGAAACUCCUGGAGGGCAGAGCUGUGUCUGCCAUCUUCAUCAUUGCAUUACCACCACCCAGCACAGUGCCUGGCACAAAAGAGUUGCUCAAUAAAUAAAUCAGGAUGAAUGAAUAAACACAUGGAUAGGCACUUUGAACUACAGAUGAGUUUAAAUACUUUGUGUUUUUCUUAGUCAAACAUGUGCAAUUAAGCAUGUGAUAAAUGAUAUGAUGACCACA
Homo sapiens (human) is the source of this 603-nucleotide long non-coding RNA. The record is from Ensembl. Lineage: Eukaryota; Metazoa; Chordata; Mammalia; Primates; Hominidae.